GACACUUUGGCCGAGUGGUUAAGGCGCAGGCCUGCUAUUCAUUAGUCUUCCGACUAAUAUAGUAUAUAUAGCCUGUGGGUUCGCCCGCCUGGGUUCGAAUCCCAGAGGUGUCG
This is a non-coding RNA of Aspergillus ellipticus CBS 707.79, 113 nucleotides long. The record is from the annotation of a GenBank genome assembly. NCBI's taxonomy places the organism in Eukaryota, Fungi, Ascomycota, Eurotiomycetes, Eurotiales, Aspergillaceae.